UUACGGUCAUACCACGUUGAAACAUCGGUUCUCGUACAAUCACCGAAAUUAAGCAACGUUGAUCCUGCUCAGUAUCUAGAUGAGUGACUGCUGAGGAAUACCAGGUGCUGUAA
Non-coding RNA from Acanthosepion pharaonis, 113 nucleotides. The record is from the annotation of a GenBank genome assembly. Lineage: Eukaryota; Metazoa; Mollusca; Cephalopoda; Sepiida; Sepiidae.